This 253-nucleotide ribosomal RNA is filed under the name uncultured bacterium. Its description in RNAcentral is "partial 16S ribosomal RNA". It matches the Rfam family "Bacterial small subunit ribosomal RNA", at positions 524 to 776 of the family's 1533-position model. The record is from RNAcentral.
UACGUAGGCAGCAAGCGUUGUUCGGAGUUACUGGGCGUAAAGGGGGUGUAGGCGGUUGGAUAAGUGUGGUGUGAAAUCUCCCGGCUCAACUGGGAGGGUGCGCUACAAACUGUCUGACUAGAGUGUGGGAUGGGAAAGUGGAAUUCCUGGUGUAGCGGUGAAAUGCGUAGAUAUCAGGAGGAACACCGGUGGUGUAGACGGCUUUCUGGACCAUAACUGACGCUGAGACACGAAAGCGUGGGUAGCAAACAGG